This is a long non-coding RNA of Haliotis rubra (blacklip abalone), 376 nucleotides long. RefSeq lists it as uncharacterized. The transcript has 4 exons. Lineage: Eukaryota; Metazoa; Mollusca; Gastropoda; Lepetellida; Haliotidae. The record is from RefSeq and is a predicted model, not a curated record.
UAUGUCCGGGUACAGAUGUGCUUAUAUUUCCGAUUCUAGGUGAACAGGGAAAUGGAAAUUAUGAUUCAUUCUAACGGCUGUGGUGUAGUGUAGUGGGAUACAGUGUGUUUCUAGACUAACCUUAUUACAGCUGUCCACCAGAGAGGGAAGACUACAUGUGGCAGGAUAUUUCGUGGCUGAGGAAUAGGAGAAGCAUGGAGAUUGGCGUGAUCGUUUACUGCUGGAUUGUGAUCAUUGCAAGGCACAGAGCAGGGUCGGAACCUUGUGUGGACAACUUAGGGGACACCUGCAAGACGAUUGAUUGUUCACAGCCAGGAAUCGUUCACGAGUGUGCGAAGACGUGUGACAUUUGUACGGGAAAAGGUUGCAAAAAGGG